This is a long non-coding RNA of Brachypodium distachyon (stiff brome), 1445 nucleotides long. RefSeq lists it as uncharacterized. The record is from RefSeq and is a predicted model, not a curated record. NCBI's taxonomy places the organism in Eukaryota, Viridiplantae, Streptophyta, Magnoliopsida, Poales, Poaceae. The transcript has 3 exons.
UCACGUUAAAUAUAUUAGAAAAACGUAGUAAUAUGUCCAUAAGCACCAUAUUUCAAGCAUGUAACCAAUCAAAGUAGCAUUACAAAUAUGUAUUUUUGUCUUCUAAUGACUUUCUAUUUCAAAAUAAGCAUCUAAAUGAUAACAAUUCAACAUAUAAGAUAUCUCCUAAGGCCGAAGAGUUAUUCGCUCUCUCGUCGCUCCAUGAAGGCGCGCCCGCGGUUCCUUUUUAAUCCGGAUGGGUUGUUUGCGGGACUGCGCGGGCGAUGCACGCUGCAUGCAGGCUGACGCGUGUCUCCCGGCUUGUGCGUUGUCCCUUCGGAUCCUUCGAGAGUAUGUGUGCUGGCGAUUAGGAGUCGGCCAUUCUCGUUCUGGUGGCUUCUUCUCGAUUCCAUACAGAGGCCCGACCCUGUGGUGUUAUUGUGUGGCUUUGGCAGUUCGUGCGGAGGAGGGGGCGGCAGUGGAGCGAGGAGCGCGACGGCUAUAGCUCCUGCGGUGGCGGCGGGGACUCGCGUGGAGGGCCUGCUUGCGCCGUUGCGUGGGAGGCGACGGCGACGGAGACGACGGCGCGGUUCCGGAGGGGGCCGCGGCGACGGCUAUCGCGUUGGAGUGAGGGCGACAGUUGUAGGUCACGCGGUGGCGGCGGGCACUCGCGUGGAGGUAGACGGCGGCGCCUGCUUCUUCUGUCCUGGUCCGAUUUCGCUACUUCUUCCUCUGCGGGCGAUCUUUGCCUAUAUGAGGGUUCUUCCGUGCGGCGGGGGGCCGUCCUGGACGAGGUUGGGCAGAUUUCGCGGUGGUUCCGGUCGAUUGCUCUCUUCAUAUGACGGAUUUGGCGGCGGUUCUGGGCGUGUGUUCUCCGACCGUUCCGGAUCCGGCGGCUGUUUUGUAUGCUUUUCUUUGUGCUGUUCCCAGAUCCUGAUUUUCGUUGUCGUGGUUGCUAAGCUGUGCUCUUCGGUUUAUCAUUGAUGCUUUAGUCUCUGAUUUCGACGCGCCUGCCUCUUGCAAAACCCAAAGUGUACUCUUACAACUAUGGUUUGGGUGAACGGCACUUUAAGAAGUCAGAGCAUAAGUGGUCGGGGUCUCUGUUCAUUGGAGCUACCCUUUCUGUUUCCCAUCUGGUCCCUCCAUUCAAUGGUGAAUGCAGAUCUGUUGUUUAGCAGCAGGAGGAGGCGUGGCGGGUGAACGCUCGACAACAUCCACAAGCUGCAAGCAGUUGUGGAGGUGCUCUGUGGAAUUUGGAUCGACUAUGAGGUGUCCAUCAAGUACCUCGGUGCUCCCUUCAAAACUGGCAUUGGGCAAGUUUGAACAUUCUCAUUUUUACAAUUGUUUUUCCACUUACGCUUGUGUAAACAGAAAAUUGAAGAAGUGCAAAAAAAUGGGAAAGAAUAUUUCUGAUGUGAUAUUUGCAAGUUAAUUCGGCAAUGUAUGAAAGUGAUAUUUACUAGUUA